Cyprinus carpio (common carp) is the source of this 1100-nucleotide long non-coding RNA. NCBI's taxonomy places the organism in Eukaryota, Metazoa, Chordata, Actinopteri, Cypriniformes, Cyprinidae. The record is from Ensembl.
CCCCUGAAAACCUCCUCAGAGCCACAGUCCCAUAAUCAACACAGCACAGACUGCUCGCGCGGGGCCGUGCACGCGCUGCACAUUGAUAAGAAAACUGCAAGAACAAGAGUUAGAUUUAGGCUAAUCUACAUUAAUGUCGCUUUUGUUACAGACAAUGAGAAGAAGGGACCCUCGCGUAGCCUACUACACAUGGACCAUCUGAAAUUGGAAAGGCUUUUUAAUAUAUAACAGUUUUUAUGCUUUAUCAACGGUGAUGUGGAGUUAAUAAGUGAGGAGUUUAUACCAAAACAAAAGGACCGCACGCGCAUUACUUUACUUUUUAAAAAUAACUCUUUAAAAUGUUGUAUUAUUUUUUUUUAUAGGCCUAUAUAAAGUCCUGUUUGACUUUUAAGACAUUUUAUGUAAUCUGAAUUACUUUUUUUAAUUAUUUGCCAUGCCUGAACAGGUAUUUUAGAUUACCGUUCUCUCAGACAGACUAAUAAUAAGAUACGUCUUUAUUGGUCUGAACCAUAAAUGAAUGAUUAAAUAAGCGCCACUGAGGAAUCCAGGAUUUUGGUGCUUCGCAUGGGAACAAACCUCUUCGCUUUAAUCCGCAAACUGCCUUUCAAAGGACUUCAAAUGGGCCACUUGCUCCUCAGAAGAGAGACUCAUUCUGCCGUGGAGGGCAAUCUGAAUGUUUGCGCACUGCGAGGAAUGUCGAGCCUGCAGAGCCGCUGAGGGACUCAAACUGCUGCUUAAUUAACCCGAUAUUUGCUCGCGACUCGGAGCCCAGUGCGGAGCGUCUGGUGCGCGUCUCUCUAAAUGCGCGCUGUCCCGUGGAGCCCCGCAGCGGCACGGCAGCAAGAUGAGAUCGCGGAUCCCGCUUCUUCUCGCGGUACUUGCGGCGGCGUGUCUGCGGUUUGGCAAUGCGGAGGCUGAUCCUCUUCCGGCCGCUGUGGUUGAGUUGGUGAAGGGUGGAUCUGUGUCUUCUAUUCAGGACUUGCAGUUUUUGCUGUUCUCUGAAUCUAUAGGUAAAUAAGCUUUCUUUACAUUAAUAAUAUAGACACUGUAGUGACCUGUAGCUAUCAAAUAAAUAUGUUUGGUGUUUUAUAGGUGUGUCA